AGCUCCAAUAGCGUAUAUUAAAUUUGCUGCGGUUAAAAAGCUCGUAGUUGUAUUUCAGCUCAUGUCAAACAGUCCAUCAAUAGUAACCCAAUUCUUUAUUGAAUUGGGACCACUUACGAUUGAGGAAUAAACCUGUUUGACUGAGCAACACCGAUUUGUUCAAUAAUGCUUUUUACCGAGUGUUAUUAGCGAUCGGUAUCUUUACUUUGAAGAAAUUAGAGUGCUCAAAGCAGGCGUUUAAAGCCUGAAUAUUAUUGCAUGGAAUAAUGGAAUAGGACCUAGGUUCUAUUCUGUUGGUCUUAUAAUGAACCUCAGGUAAUGAUUAAGAGGGACAGACGGGGGCAUUCGUAUUGCGGCGCUAGAGGUGAAAUUCUUGGACCGCCGCAAGACGAACUACAGCGAAAGCAUUUGUCAAGAAUGUUUUCAUUAAUCAAGAACGAAAGUUAGAG
RNAcentral lists this ribosomal RNA (449 nucleotides) under Ophioptes sp. 1 JAMR-2017. Its description in RNAcentral is "bacterial SSU rRNA". It matches the Rfam family "Eukaryotic small subunit ribosomal RNA", at positions 587 to 995 of the family's 1831-position model. Lineage: Eukaryota; Metazoa; Arthropoda; Arachnida; Trombidiformes; Ophioptidae. The record is from RNAcentral.